Long non-coding RNA from Dalotia coriaria, 2472 nucleotides. RefSeq lists it as uncharacterized. NCBI's taxonomy places the organism in Eukaryota, Metazoa, Arthropoda, Insecta, Coleoptera, Staphylinidae. The record is from RefSeq and is a predicted model, not a curated record. The transcript has 4 exons.
AUCGUCACAGUGAAUAUUAAUAAUCUGUUUUAGUUAAGAGCCAUGGCAAAACCAUCCCCACCUGCAUGCUUGAUUCCGGUUCUAUCCCCAGUCAUUAAGUCAGUAACAAAGAAUCUUGACUUGGGAGUUUUGAAUGGUCUUCUAAAUGACUUGCUUGUUUGUGAUGAAUGAUGACUAAUAGCACUUGGAUGGAAAUAAAAUUAACAUGACAGCACCUAUUACGUUUUAUUCAAUUGCAAUUUUUCGAAAUUGAUAAAUUUACAAUUUUAAUAAAAUAUAGAGUUUCAUUAUUAAAUUUAUAACAAAAAUUUAUAUAAAAUGAUAUUGAUCUUCCUCUAUUUAUUAUAAUUAUAUUCCUAUACAUUUCGAAUAUAAUCUGGGAAACACUAAUUGCAGAAGUAAAAAAUUCUGUAAAGUAAAAUGCAAAAAACACGCACAAAACACGCGCGUUGCAGUUAAUUCGAAACGCAAAGCAAAAAAUAUACGCCAACAUUUUUGUAACGGUAUUUUAAAAAUGCAUCUAUUUCACGGGUAGAUGUCAAAAGUAAAAAUAAAAUAAUUUAAAUAUUUGCGCGAAAUAUUCGAACUAUCCUUGCGUAACGAAGACAAAACAAACCGCGCUAAUUUCGUAUAAAAGGCAGGAAUAUUGUACGACUAUUAUAUUAAUUGAAGUGAAUUGAACUGAAUUUACACUUAAUUAACUGCUGGUACCUGCAAACAAAAAUUUACUGAAAUGGCUAGUCGAAAAAUGAUUCUGCUUGUGUUGGUGGUAUGCGUGUUGGCAACCGCUAUGGCAAGACCAUCAACACGUUGUGCAAUUUAUAUACCAUUUGUAAGUGGCAUCGUCAAAGCAGUCAAUAAUAACAUUGAUUUAGGUCCAACUGUGCAUAAUCUCCUCAAUGACUUACUGGUGUGUGAUUAACUAAUGACGUUACAUUUGUGAUAUAAUGCCAUGUUCACAUGAUAAAGUGCAAUUACCAAAUUGUUGUUUUUAUACCUAAUACUCCCACAUACUAAAUUAAACAAACCAACAGCUAUAAAAAUUAAGAUUUCUUCAAUUAAUAAUAGUUUUACGAGAGGGUGUAUAUUUAUACACAUAAAUCAAAGAAAUCAAUUUAACGCUUUCAAAUUAUCGUUGUUCAACCAAAGCAUAUUAAUAAAGGUGUGCCGAUAAGAGCUCUAAUGGUCGAAAUAGCUAUCGACAUCAGGUUUGACAAACACUUCCAUUGACUUGCAAUGGUUUUAUUAAUAUGGUAUCGUUUAAUAAUGAUAACUGUAAGGUUAAAGCGUUUUCUUUCAUUUAUAUCUAUCAAAGAUUUUUUAAAUUUUAUUUAACCUUAAAUUAUACGUUAAACCACCAUAUGUUUUAUUUUCAAAUGAAAGGGUAAACCUUAAGGAGGGUAUUUAGAAUUCAUCUGCUUGAUGAUGGCACAGUGUGGUGAAACAUAUUGCAGUGUGUAAUAAGUACUGUGAAUUCCAUAAGGUUUAUUCUUUCAUUUGACGAUAAUUAUGGAGUUUCAUGAUGUAAGUGGCUCAACAAUUCAAUGUUUCUUUUAUUGAUGCAUUUAAUUUUAUUCAUACACCAACAAAAAACAACGUAACUAUUCUUUUCAAAUUAAUUACUUAAAAAAUAGUACUACUCAUAUUAUAACAGGCGUAUUAAAAUAUCAUUCGGAAAGUUUCAGGAUGCGCAUAUCUUGAUACUUUUUGUACGAGUUUUAUUAUCAAGUGUACAUAAGUUUCGAACGGAAAUAUACCACAUAAGUAAAAAUUUAAAUUUUUUUAUUCGUCUCGAUACAAAGUUCUUGUUAUAAACAGUGAAGAAGUGAUAAUGACAAACAUAAUGUAAAGACAAAACAAUAAUAUUAUGAUUUUUUUGAAGAAUUCGAAAACAAUACCGCUUUUUUGCAUAAUGAAUGUUUCAUACUUGAAUUAAACUGACAUAAACACGUUUCUAUUUUUCUGUUUACACAAGUAGCUGCAGAUAAAACGUAAAAACAUCCAAAUAGACAAACACGAGCAAAAUAAGUACUUAAGUUAUGAGUCAAGUAGUAGGUAUAUAAAGCGAAGAGGUUUGCUGAACGUUAUCAGUGCAAAUAUAAACCUACACUUGCAACAAGCCAAAAAUAAGUCAAACUAUUUGAAAAUCAAGCUAUUUGAGAAGAAUAUAAAAUGAAUAUUCGUAAAAAUGAUGUUCUUGGGUUUAUUAUCAAUUUUAUGGAAUCAGCAUGCCUUAGGUGGCGUAGAUUUGGAUAAUCCAUUGAACCAUUGUCUAAAAUGUCUUCAGGAUGUGGAUUUUGAUAAAUGUUUUGUGCUUUCAUAAUCGUGAUAUUCAUUAGUUAUAACUAAUUUACCUAUACUUACCUAUAUCUAUACUUUACUUAUAUUUUUUUACUAUGGUUCAAUAUUAAUGUCGUAUUUGUAUGAAUUUAUAAAAAUGAUUAAACAAUAAAAAAUAUUAUAUUUAAAAAA